RNA transcript from Coregonus clupeaformis (lake whitefish), 2901 nucleotides. It is a transcript of the gene named serine/threonine-protein kinase STK11, with no coding region annotated. Lineage: Eukaryota; Metazoa; Chordata; Actinopteri; Salmoniformes; Salmonidae. The transcript is spliced from 12 exons. The record is from RefSeq and is a predicted model, not a curated record.
UUCAUUCAGACUGGAUCAGCCACGGUCAUGAUUAGGAGUGAGGUAAACAACAUGGCGGCAACCUGAUAGCAGCUGCAUCAAGAAUAGCAUACCUCACAUAUGUGUGCAGACAGACUCAAAUAAAACACUACAGCGGAAGACUACAUAACAUCCAUCUACUUCGAUUCAGUCUGAAAGUUAAGGUUCCCUGGAACAUAAUCCUGAGUUGCCAACAGAGAAAGACUAGUGGACUCACUAGAAGAGCUGACAAGAAAUCUAGGAUCCAGAGCAUUAAUAAGGAUACUAAAGACUGAAAGGACUCAUUUUGGUUUGUGUUUGACUAUUGCGUCUGGACUUAGAUCAAGGCUAACCGAUGGUGCCCUCUCUGAAGUAGAGACCAUGGAUCACUACAAGGACCUUUGGCCGAAAUGUUGGGCUUGGGUUUGAAACAGGACCAUUUACCUCUCCCUUCUCAUAUCAGAUCACAGAUGGAGGUGACAUGGAGCUAAGCAGUGAAAUGUAAUCUCGGCCAAACAUCCCGCUCUCUGCUCAGUAGCACCUGUCACACAGCCUGAACUCUCCACAAAUCUUUUCAUCCUGGACCUUGAACUCACUGGGACUUAGCUAACUGCCCUACACCUCUCUGGAAACCGUUAAAGCUAGCCUACAGCUUCCCACAAACCAAAACGAACCCAUUAAUGUUUACAGACCUACUCUAUCCCAACGUCAACCGUUUCUUUCAAUGCCCAGACCUGGCCACACCUCCUCCCAUGUCCCUUAAUGUUUUCUAAUGGAACUGUAUCCCUGAGCCACCACGAUACACAGCCCAAGCCAAAGGCUUGACGUCACAGUGCAGUUGCAUUGGACUGUCUGGAGCACACUGGAGUAACUAAGCUCUAACUAAGUUAAUUUAAACAUGAGUGACGGGGAGCUGCAGCACCUGGACUAUCUGACUGAGAAUGAGCUGAUGGGCAUGGACACGUUCAUUCACCGCAUCGACUCAACCGAGGUGAUCUACCAGCCACGCAGGAAGAGGGCCAAGCUGAUCGGGAAGUACCUGAUGGGAGACCUGCUGGGGGAGGGCUCCUACGGUAAGGUGAAGGAGAUGCUGGACUCUGACACGCUGUGUCGCAGGGCCGUCAAGAUCCUCAAGAAGAAGAAGCUGAGGAGGAUCCCCAACGGAGAGGCUAAUGUGAAGAAGGAGAUCCAGCUGCUACGGAGACUCCAGCACAAAAAUGUGAUCCAUUUGGUGGACGUGUUGUACAAUGAAGAGAAGCAGAAAAUGUAUAUGGUGAUGGAGUAUUGCGUAUGUGGGAUGCAAGAAAUGCUGGACAGUGUCCCAGAGAAAAGAUUUCCAGUAUUUCAAGCUCAUGGGUACUUUUUACAGCUGUUAGAUGGCCUUGAAUAUUUGCACAGCCAGGGAAUCGUUCACAAAGACAUUAAACCAGGAAAUCUGCUUCUGACCACCGACGGGGCACUCAAAAUCUCCGACCUGGGCGUGGCAGAGGCUCUGCACCCGUUUGCGGAGGAUGACACGUGCCGUACGAGUCAGGGCUCGCCGGCGUUCCAGCCCCCCGAGAUCGCCAACGGCCUGGACACCUUUUCAGGGUUCAAAGUGGACAUCUGGUCUGCAGGCGUCACACUAUACAACAUUACGACCAGUCUUUAUCCGUUUGAAGGGGACAACAUCUAUAAGCUAUUUGAGAACAUUGGGAAGGGAGACUACAGUGUUCCAGAAGAGUGCGGGCCUGCCCUGUCAGACCUACUGCAAGGAAUGCUUGAAUAUGAUCCCGUCAAGAGGUUUUCGAUACAGCACAUAAGGCAACACAACUGGGUACGUAAAAAACACCCGCCAACGGAGACACCGGUGCCGAUCCCUGCCAGCGCAGAGAGCCGGGAUGUGUGGCGCAGCAUGACGGUGGUGCCCUACCUGGAGGACCUGCACGGGUACACCGAGGAAGAGGACGACGAGCUCUACGACCAGGAGGACGACAUCAUCUACACUCAGGACUUCACUGUGCCAGGGCAGGUACCAGAGGAGGACUUAGAUGAGGGUGAGGUGGAUCGGAGCCGGGCCCAGGCCAAGCCUGUUUGUGUGAACGGGACGGAGAGCAACGCCAAGCCAGAGUGCAGGUCCUCGUCCUCAUCCAACCCCUCCCGCAAAGGAAUAUCCACAGCCAGCAAGAUUCGCAAGCUCUCCACCUGCAAACAGCAAUGACUGCACCUCAACAACCCACCUGGGUCUGCCAUCAUUCAGCUGCUUUAUCUGUGUGUUGCUGGAGGUUGAUAUUUUCCCGUUCUUCUGUUUUUGGAGUGCUUGGCAAUGGUGAGAGAAGCCUGCUGAUGUUGUGCCCCACGUUUCAUCCUGAACCAUUUGGCUUCAAACUCUUCUUCAAGGAUGCCAUGCGCGUGACGAAGAGCAGGAGAAGGAGAGAAAUAGAUUGCUCAGAGACUACCCUUGAGGGUCUUGGUGUGAAGUGCUUGUGUUUCCCUUCACUCUCUCUGCGGAAGACUUCUUUUCUUUCAGUCCCAGAGGAGGCGUGGCCUGGCCUUGUGAGACCCACCUUUGUGAACUCUGCCCCAGUUUUAGUGAAUAGACAACCUUUUAUUUUACAGAACCUAACUGCAGUUUUUAAAGAUGCAAAUUGUGAUGUGUAAAAAGAAUGACGUUGAUAAAGAAUACAUAUAUAUUUAAACUAUGAUGAUGAGUAUGAUACCCAUGUAAAACUGCAUGCUGUACGGAGCUUUGAGAAAGGGAAACUACUCGGUUAAGGACAGACAAAUGGACUGAAACCUUGACAUCCACAGCUGAUGGUGAGUUGGGAGGGGUUUUGUUUUCCAUUAGUUGUUGUUUUGAUUAUUUUUUUCCAAUAAAUAUUUUGUAAUUAUUAUUUAUAUAAAACACAUCCCAACCAAACCCUA